Long non-coding RNA from Falco peregrinus (peregrine falcon), 1892 nucleotides. RefSeq lists it as uncharacterized. The transcript is spliced from 3 exons. The record is from RefSeq and is a predicted model, not a curated record. NCBI's taxonomy places the organism in Eukaryota, Metazoa, Chordata, Aves, Falconiformes, Falconidae.
AUUAAGAAGGUCCAAAUAGUUCCAAAGGACAAUUUAGUGUCACUGUAAAUUUGGGAGAAGUUGAAAAUAACCAGCAGGUGACACUUAGCAAAAUGUGUGUUUAAAACAGAUUCUUUGCAGAGAACUGUGGGUUAGGUGUGUCUGUCCAUAUAGUUUUCACAAUACCACAAACUCUUUUCAGAUUAGACAGUUGACAAGAAGGAAGCUAUCAUCUGCAUACUAGCCUCAGAAGUGGUAAACCUGGAAUUUCAGACUUCAGCAGAUAAUUUAAAGUUAAUUGAAUCCUUCUCCUAUAAUGCAUGGAACAGCGCAACAGAACCUAUACUCAGCAGAAAGAACAGCCUGACUGUGACGGCUGGUAUAGCUCUGGUUCUGAUAGUGACUUCUGAGUAUUCUGGAUGAAAGCUGAUAAAACUAGCUACCACAAAAAAAAACCCUGUGUUGCCCUGCUUCAUUCUUCCUUUGAAAAGAAGCGAGAAGAUUGUUCCUCUGAGUCCAGCAUAACAUAGUAAAACUCUUAUUUAUGGUACAAGUAUUUUCAGUGCAGCAGUUUCCUCAUGGUCACAGAUGCACUGCCAGCAGCAGUACAGCGGGCUGCAGGCAAAGCAUGAAGAGCUAACGCUCAAGUACUUGGUGCCUCCUGACAAGCGACCCUCCAGCUGGCUUAUCCUUCCCCCUGACACAGGGUAGGGACCAGCACCAGCUUGGGGCACCCAGAUGCACAUUGGAAGGGAUGGGUACAAGGCAAUGGAGAUGAAGAAGCCUAGAAGAACAUGAUGCCCUGGGAGAAGAGAAGGAGCUCCCAGGGGAGGGGCAGGGCACAACAUGGGUUCUCUAAUUCUGACCUGUGCUUUACUCACUAAAACACAAACAAGUGAAUACUACUUACAGAGUCACCUAUUUGUUGUAUACUGACCGAAUUUGUAUUGAAUUAUGCUCGCAUUCUUGUAAAGUUGAUCCAAGUUUUGCCAUAAGCAUGUCUGUGGUUUGAUUCAGCACUGACUUCGCUUUCUGCAGGGAAGAAGACAACACAAGAACAGACCCAUCCCUAACUAGGAUUUAGCAGCUUAUACAGUACCAGAAGCAAGGGGUUGGAAAGAUGUGGUCAUGUAGAAAUUCAGAAGAGUGACAUAUGAUAAUGAAAUCUUAUUGAAUCCUUAAGUGUUCAGCACUUUUUUGAUCAGAACCAACCUCACCCAAAGGCCUCAUCACUACCUCAUAUGAUGACCCAUAGCCUUUUUGUGAUAAAUUAUCUUGCCUUCAUGUACCUGUUUACUUUCCAGAGUGGAAAAGGUGGUAACUUUUAAUGAUUCAUUCUCUGUGCCUUUUACAAAACAGUUCUUCAGGGGUUUUUCUACAUGGCUUUUGAAGAUAGAGUGAAAAAUAUAAAUAGCACUAUAUAUACACAUACAUAUAAACAUAUGUUUCUCUAGUACAUUUCAAAUGACUAAUCUGAUGGGACAUGAUUCUCCUAAAAUAACAGUGUCUCCAAUGAAGUACAGCAAAGCAGCACACUAAGAAUCACCAGACAAGUCAGGAAGUGGUAUCAGAAAUAAUCUGGCAGGACAUAAGCGAGCAAAGCAUGCUAUGAGGGGGCAGAGAGUUCAAACCCUGGGAAUGUGAAGGGAAAGUCACAUUCAGCAUUUGUGUUCUUUGGGGUUUAACCACAGUCAUGUCAGUACUACAGUUCUUGCUACAAAAAUUAAAUGUAAGUUAGAAACUGAAGCAGUCUAAAUUAGGCAAACUUCAAUUAUAAACAAAUACAAAGGGGUAAUGGGAAAACUAAAUGUAAAAAGAGCUGGUAUCAGCUACAUGGGCAGAAAUCUGUCCCCACUGGUGUGGCGUAACAGGGAACAGCUGCAGUGGAUGGCAACCAGCACCCCCUAAGCAGA